AUGGAUGAGGAUUUCAAUGUUGAAUAUUUUAAUCAAGUACCGAUUGUUUUACAAAUAGCUGUUGAUCAAUUAAGUGAUGAGGAUUUCAAUGUUGAAUAUUUUAAUCAAGUACCGAAUGCUUUACAAAUAGCUGUUGAUCAAUUAAGUGAAAUUCCAAUCUCCAUUCCAAUAAAUUUACAUUUUACAGAGCAAAAUGAAAACGUCCUAGAACUUGACACCUUACAACUCAUAAAUGAUGCCCUCGAAAACCUUAAUGCAGUUAAUGCAGUAGAGUUUGAAAAUCAUUCUCCUUCAUCAGCUCUCCACACGCAAAGUGAUCAUGUCUUACACGCGGUAACAAUCAGAUCAGAGACGGAUUCAGCAGAGACACAAGAAGGGGGGUCAGAGAGCAGCCCCUCAGCCCUUACACACAUGGCCCCCCCUAAACUUUCUCCUCAGCAAGGGGGAGGAGGGCUAGGAGAAAAUCCAUCCGAUCUCUCUCCUGAGCGGGGUGAGAGGUUUUUUAAUGAUUUUAUCACAUGGAGAACAAGACGCUCCUUUAACAUUCCCACUCGGGGAAAUGUGCCUGACAUUGCAACAUUCUAUCGAGAUGUAACAGGGGUUAUCAGCGAAUUGGUGGAUGUUGCCAGACGACAUAGUAGUCGCAAUGAUUUAAUACAGUUGGAGGUGGUGGGUGAAAACGUACACAAUCAUGUUACAGUUGCUGUGGAUGAACAAGGUGAAAAUAUUCUACCGGCUUUUAAUGGAAUGCUAGAUCGGAUUGUGCAGUCAAACGGUAUCAUUUCAUCGGAUGAGAAUAUACAAUUCAUCCUUCACGUGGUGCAGAACCCAGGAGGAGGUGCCAAACGUAAGAUGGAGAAAACUCUAGACUGUGAAAUCAUUGACAAAAAAAGACGUCACUUAUUUAUCGUAGACAACAGAGACAACCAGCUUUGCUUCGCCAUCAGUCUAGCUCACGUUAUCUACCCGAAACUUACUGAAAGAGGAUGCCUUGAUAUUGCGAGGAAGUUGCAGCAUCAGGCUGGUUUAAAUGAUGAGACCCCCGUCACUUUCAGUGACAUUGGUAAAUUUGAAAAUAUUCUGGGGCGUAAAAUUGUUGUGUUUUACAGAACAUGCCACAGUAAACCCCUCUCACAUUAUGAGACAAAAUUCUCUGAUCGUUCCAAUCAGUUGUUUCUCUUUUUACUACAAAAUCACUAUUAUGGGAUAAAAAAUCUCAAAGCCUUCCUGGGGUCGUCAGUCUGUAAUUAUUGUUACAAGACUUUUAAGCACCCCUAUACCCACUUUUGUAAAGGUUACUGCGCAGUGUGCAACGAUCCUGCCUGCCCCACAGAAGGGUUCAACACAGUGGUUUGCUCUGACUGUAACAGAACGUGUCGCUCACCCUCUUGUUUCACCAGACACAAAUUGGUCGGUUCAAGCAGAAAGUCCAGCCUCUGCGACCAAAUCAAAAAAUGCGCACGAUGCGAACUAUACUACAGUGUCAAUUUGUCGUUAGACGAUGCAAAGCAUCGCUGUGCGGUGAAAAAAUGUAAAAUCUGUGGUGAAAAACUGCAGAGCGACUCUAAAGUCGAUCAUAGUUGUUACAUUCCUACCCUCCAACCAGACAUCUCACAUCCUGAUUUGGUUUUUUAUGAUUUUGAAACAUUUGUGGGUCAAAAUGGAGAGCAUGUUCCUUUUUUAGUGCAUACAAAAACAUCCAAAGGUGAAGAGAAGGCGUUUUAUGGUCUUGACUGUGCUAAAAUGUUUAUUUUGCAUUCAGGAAGCCACGAUACAAACAGAACAUCUUUAUAG
This is a long non-coding RNA of Takifugu rubripes (torafugu), 1794 nucleotides long. The record is from Ensembl. NCBI's taxonomy places the organism in Eukaryota, Metazoa, Chordata, Actinopteri, Tetraodontiformes, Tetraodontidae.